UACGGAGGGUGCAAGCGUUAUCCGGCAUCACUGGGUUUAAAGGGUGCGUCGGCGGCUAGAUAAGUCAGAGGUGAAAGUUUGUCGCUUAACGAUAGAACUGCCUUUGAUACUGUUAAGCUUGAAAGUAGGUGAGGUUGGCGGAAUGUGACAUGUAGCGGUGAAAUGCAUAGAUAUGUCAUAGAACACCGAUUGCGAAGGCAGCCGGCUACCCUGACUUUGACGCUGACGCAGGAAAGCGUGGGUAGCGAAUAGG
This 253-nucleotide ribosomal RNA is filed under the name uncultured bacterium. Its description in RNAcentral is "partial 16S ribosomal RNA". It matches the Rfam family "Bacterial small subunit ribosomal RNA", at positions 524 to 776 of the family's 1533-position model. The record is from RNAcentral.